Molecule: ribosomal RNA, 459 nt
Filed under: uncultured bacterium
Lineage: Bacteria
Description: partial 16S ribosomal RNA
Rfam family: Bacterial small subunit ribosomal RNA
Source: RNAcentral
CCUACGGGAGGCAGCAGUGAGGAAUAUUGGUCAAUGGCCGAGAGGCUGAACCAGCCAAGUCGCGUGAGGGAAGACGGCCCUACGGGUUGUAAACCUCUUUUGUCGGGGAGCAAAGCGAACCACGUGUGGUUCAUUGAGGGUACCCCAAGAAUAAGCAUCGGCUAACUCCGUGCCAGCAGCCGCGGUAAUACGUAGGGAGCGAGCGUUAUCCGGAAUUAUUGGGCGUAAAGGGUGCGUAGAUGGCAUAGUAAGUCUUUUGUAAAAAUGCUGGGCUCAACCCAGUAGGGCAAAAGAUACUGCAAAGCUAGAGUAUGCGAGAGGCAAGUGGAACUACAUGUGUAGCGGGAAAAUGCGUAAAUAGAUGUAAGAACACCAGUGGCGAAGGCGGCUUGCUGGGUCGAUACUGACAUUGAGGCACGAAAGCGUGGGGAGCGAACAGGAUUAGAUACCCUUGUAGUC